Molecule: non-coding RNA, 128 nt
Submitted as: unclassified sequences
Source: Rfam
CCGAGAUAGGGGUACAUAUUCUGCCACUGGCGAUUCCCUGGACCUUAGCGAUGAAGGCAUUUCAAAGCCUGAGCAACGACUCUCGGCGUUAGAUGGGGAGAGUGCCAGACGUGGUGUCCCCGCUGACG